UCGGGCUCACGGCAGACGCCCGGCAUUCCCAAGACGAGCUUCCAGACGAAUAUCGUCCAAGCGCUGC
Non-coding RNA from Proteobacteria bacterium SG_bin9, 67 nucleotides. Lineage: Bacteria; Pseudomonadati; Pseudomonadota. The record is from Rfam.